AAAAAAAGAGAUUUUAGAAAGGGCCAAAAAAUCUCCAAAAUAACAUCACCGCAGCCAAAAGACUUCAGCCUUCUUUUCUCAAAUCUCCUGCAACACCACUCCAUGCUCUCUUUUCUGUACACAACUCCACUCUCUUUUCUCUACACAGCUACCAUCACCCAUUUCUUUAUUUUCUUGCUCCUUUUCCUUUCUCUCUAAUAAUGUCCAAUAGCAUCUCAUACUCUUUUUUUUAGAGGUCCCCCAUUUCCACGAACAAAGUACCAUUGAGCCUUCGUUUCUUCAUAAAUCAAGGAAUCAUUCCUGUUAAGCUUUCAAGGAAUCAGAGGUACUAGUGGUAGAACAACUAUGUUUUCUUUGGCUGGCAAAACCACCCUUUCCAUCUCCAGAUCAUACAUUGUAGUGUGGUUUUUGGUAUAAAUCUGAUUACUUAAGUCUCUAUUAAAGAAUAAUUUCUGGUUCAUCUUAGUUGAGUUGUUAUCCCAAAAUAACUUUUUGCUUAAUUUCUAAGGAAUUUUUGUUUGAGUAGGACCCAUUUAAUUAUUAAUGUUUGUGGGUAUCUUUUGUGAACUGUUAAAAUAGGUUAUAAUGGGUUGAUUAGUUGAAAUGAGA
Molecule: unclassified non-coding RNA, 609 nt
Filed under: Hevea brasiliensis (rubber tree)
Lineage: Eukaryota; Viridiplantae; Streptophyta; Magnoliopsida; Malpighiales; Euphorbiaceae
Source: RNAcentral